Molecule: long non-coding RNA, 1304 nt
Filed under: Macaca mulatta (Rhesus monkey)
Lineage: Eukaryota; Metazoa; Chordata; Mammalia; Primates; Cercopithecidae
Description: lncRNA (ENSMMUG00000052604.1)
Source: RNAcentral
UGGCUGUAGUGGGCCCUGGAAGCCUCUGUAACCCUUCCAAAAUUCUCCUUUGUCUUUUGUGGAGAAGAUGGCCAGAAUGGCCAAAGAUUUACUUACUACCCUUGUGAGGCUAUUUAUCUGAACCAGUGGUGAUUUGCAUUAAAAGGAGCUAGUAGAAAUUCCCCUAAGAGGGCACUCUCUAAAUUAUCUCCCUUCCAUCUUUUUAUAAUUUCUAUCCCCUCAGACUUUACCCAUCAACCAACACUGUGCCACCAUGUGAGGUUGUGACAGCUGGGUGACAGGUCACCGUAGAGAAGUGAAUGCUGAUUGGGAUGCAGGUGUUAUGCUGGCAGAGAUGGAGACAUCACCAAACAACAAAGACAUCCAAGAGCUCUCUUUUAUUGGAAUGUUCCAGACAUUGCAAAUAAGAAGAGUGAAGGAUGACAGAUCAAUUAGCUGAGAGAUAAAAAAUGAGAAGACUGGGGGGACAUUGGUACUGGAAAAUUUCACUUACCUGAGCAGCCAGGAUCCAGGGGAAGCUGACGUUGAAGAGAGGAUAAAUACAAAGUGUUUCCUGGUGCCUUUACUAAUGUGGCAAUAGAAAGAACAAGCUCAAGAAAUUCAAUCAAAGUUGCAGAUAAUAGCAACUUCCCAUUGCUUUAAAAAGUAAUAAUAACCACAACACACUAUGAGAUAAAGCUCCAGGAGAAACAAUAAAGAGAAGAAAUGCACCUUUGAGAGUUGGGGUUCUAAAUGGCAAUAAUCACUUGCCAAAGAUUAUCGUGUGACUAUUAGCCACAACUAUUCCUCAUCCAGCAAGAGCUGAGGAUCAUAAGGCCAUCAGAGAUUCAUCCUGUGUGAAAGGUGAGAUUGCAAUGCUCAAAUGCUUAUGAGGCCUGAGCCCCAUCACUAAGUUGAAAAGCAUUUAUUUUCUUAAAACUGAAUUAUCAAAUGUGGGAAGGGGCAUAAGGGGCUGCCUUAUUAGGAAAAACAUUCAUAAUGCUGGAUUUAGUUAAGUAGUGAACAGUUUUCAAUAUGCUCUGAAAUUAGAAAAACAAAAUGCUAAUUCUGUAAGGAAAUUAACUCAAAACCAGGAACAGCAAAUAUCAUUAUGAUGUUCAAUUGAAUACAUCGGUCAUGAAUGCUAACAUAAUUGAACGGAUGCAGAUAGGCUGCAGAAUUAUACGUUUCUCUCUAACUUUUCAUGGCCUGGUUUAUUAUUUUAUUUGAGUAAAUCAUGGCAAUGUAUGGUCUUCACACAUCCAAAGCCUUCUUGAAGCCAGGGUGUGCCCACUAGCAGGCAAGGCCUGUUGCAGCAUUGAAAU